UCUGCAACGGACAACCGUAGAUCAACAAUGUCAGUGUCUGGUGUCCAUCCCAUCAUAUAUUGGAUGGGAGUAGUAGUAAUCCAGACCGUCCAUCUAACAAAACCCACACUAGAUGGCCCACUUUGAUUUUAAAAAAUCUCAACCCUGAUGCAUCCAUGCCGUCCGUGAUUGGUCUCACUCGAUGGACGGUCCAGAUCACUACUCGUGGCCUCAAGGCCUACCAGAUUCGGAUUACGUACCACGUGAUUGACUGUCCGGCGCAGGCGUGUCACGUGACCUGCCGCCCAUCCCAAACACCGACCCUACCGCGCCUCUAAACCUCUCCACGACUCCUUUCCCGGACCCAUCGCCUCCGGAAACUGACACACGCUCCGCCACAGGCGGCUGCACUGACCCACUCUCCGGCUCCUCCCUCUUCUUUUGAAUCGCAUCGCAGAUCAUCUCCGACAACGCCUUAUGCUCGUCCCCAGGCCGGAGCUUCUCCGCUACAAACUCACUCACCGAAACUCCCGUAUCGGACCGCUUCACGCCACUCUCCGUUUCCGUAACUUUAACUUCCGACUCGGGCGAUUCCGACCGGUUUCCGCUCCCUUGUAUUUUCGACACGACCGCGCAUCCCGCGUCCGCGACCUUCCCGUACACUGGCGCGAGCUUCUCCACGAUCCUGCGGCCGUACUCCGUGCCCCCCGAGGACGGUG
This is a long non-coding RNA of Magnolia sinica, 698 nucleotides long. RefSeq lists it as uncharacterized. Lineage: Eukaryota; Viridiplantae; Streptophyta; Magnoliopsida; Magnoliales; Magnoliaceae. The transcript is spliced from 2 exons. The record is from RefSeq and is a predicted model, not a curated record.